GACGAACGCUGGCGGCGUGCUUAACACAUGCAAGUCGAACGGUAAGGCCCUUCGGGGUACACAAGUGGCGGACGGGUGAGUAACACGUUGGAACCUGCCCCGAAGAGGGGGAUAACUACCCGAAAGGGUGGCUAAUACCCCAUAUACUCCGAUUUAUUCGGAGGAAAGCUUUUGCGCUUCGGGAGGGGCCUGCGUAACAUUAGCUUGUUGGUGAGGUAAAAGCUCACCAAGGCGACGAUGUUUAGCUGGUUUGAGAGGAUGAUCAGCCACACUGGGACUGAGAUACGGCCCAGACUCCUACGGGAGGCAGCAGUGAGGAAUAUUCCACAAUGGGGGAAACCCUGAUGGAGCGAUGCCGCGUGCAGGAAGACGCUUUUCGGAGUGUAAACUGCUUUUAAUAGGGAAGAUUAUGACGGUACCUAUAGAAUAAGGACCGGCUAACUACGUGCCAGCCGCCGCCGUAA
RNAcentral lists this ribosomal RNA (464 nucleotides) under uncultured bacterium. RNAcentral describes it as "partial 16S ribosomal RNA". It matches the Rfam family "Bacterial small subunit ribosomal RNA", at positions 28 to 523 of the family's 1533-position model. The record is from RNAcentral.